This 117-nucleotide ribosomal RNA is filed under the name Oncorhynchus kisutch (coho salmon). The record is from RNAcentral. Lineage: Eukaryota; Metazoa; Chordata; Actinopteri; Salmoniformes; Salmonidae.
GCUUACGACCACACCGGCCUGAGUACGCCUGAUCUCGUCUGAUCUCGGAAGCUAAGCAGGGUCGGGCCGGUUAGUACUUGGAUGGGAGAAGCCUGGGAAUACCAGGUGCUGUAAGCU